Alosa alosa (allis shad) is the source of this 2256-nucleotide RNA transcript. It is a transcript of the gene named kinesin family member 16Bb, with no coding region annotated. NCBI's taxonomy places the organism in Eukaryota, Metazoa, Chordata, Actinopteri, Clupeiformes, Clupeidae. The record is from RefSeq and is a predicted model, not a curated record. The transcript has 19 exons.
CUAAGCCACUACAUGUUUCCUAUCAGAACCACUAGAUGGCAGCCUAUCACGAGACUAGACAUUUCCUCAGCCUCUACUGUCUGUCUAAUAAUUAAAUAUCGAGUGCAUACAUAUGUUACCAAAGUAGCCAUAUUGAACUGAGGUUACAAAAAUGAGAAGGGAGGUAGUUUAUAAACAUUGUAAUGUAAUGUGACAGAUAUCUGCUGCAAACCCAAGCACGUUUCAAAUGGCCCUCGAGGACUUCAACUGAAAGGUGUUACACUUGUAAGGGGCAAAGGCGCCUGAAAAUAAUGAUGGCGUGCGUACGGGUGGCUGUCCGAGUUCGAUCCCUGAACAAGAGAGAAAAGGACUUGUCUUCUAAGGUCAUUAUUCGUAUGGAGGAAAAUAAGACCUCUAUCCUCAAUGUUAAGGAUAUUCUUAUGAAUAUAUCAGAAGAGAAGACAAAGUCAUUCAUCUAUGAUUUUUCUUAUGACUCCAGCAAUGCAAAGAAUCCCAACUUUGCAACUCAAGAUAAGGUCUUCACAGACCCGGGUCGUGAUGUUCUGGAGGCAGCCUUUGAAGGUUACAAUGCCUGCAUCUUUGCCUACGGCCAGACUGGUUCCGGGAAGUCAUACACAAUGAUGGGCACUGCAGAUGAUGUUUGACUGACCCCUCGCAUCUGUGAAGGCCUUUUCAGCCAGAUCACAGGACUGUCCCAGAUGGACCAUACCUCCUUCCACACGUCAGUCAGCUAUCUGGAGAUCUACAAUGAGCGAGUGCGAGACCUCUUGGGCAGGAAGCCGACGGAGGGAAGCUGCCUGAGAGUGAGGGAGCACCCCAGAGAUGGACCUUAUGUGGAAGGCCCGAUUCGAUGCAGAGCUGCCCAGCGAGACCACGAGCAAGAUCCACCUGGUGGACCUGGCGGGCAGUGAGCGUGCGGAAGCCACGGGUGCCUCGGGCACCCGACUCAAGGAGGGCGCCAACAUCAACAAGUCGCUAGUGGCCCUGGGAAACGUCAUCUCAGCCCUUGCCGACGCGUCUGUGGCUGGAGGCGUGAAGACAAAGAAGAGGAGCCCUUUUAUCCCCUACCGAGACUCCGUACUGACCUCGCUCCUGAAGGACAGCUUGGGGGGAAACUCCAAGACCAUCAUGAUUGCAACCAUUUCCCCUGCCUACUUGAACUACGGCGAGACCCUCAGCGCGCUCCGCUACGCCAACCGCGUCAAGAACAUCUUGAACCAGCCCACGGUGAACGAGGACGGCAAUGUAAAGAUCAUCCGUGAGCUCAGGGACGAGAUUGCCCACCUGAAGGCUCUUCUGGCGCAGGGAACCCGCGUGUCCCCAGUGGGCCCCAGACUGGGAGCCAGUGUUGAGGAGAAGCUUCAGCGUAAUGAGGCUCGGGUCCUGCAGCUGACCCAGGAGUGGACCAAUAAGUGGAAAGAGACACAGAGCAUUUUAAGGGAGGAGACCGUGGCCCUGAGGAAGGAGGGCAGUGGCGUUGUGCUGGACUCUGGGCUGCCGCACCUGAUCGGCAUCGACGACGACCUCCUGAGCACAGGGGUCAUCCUGUACCGUUUACAAGAGGGCAGAACGUCUGUUGGCCGCGCAGAUGCCGCAACAAAACAGGACAUUGUGUUGGACAGUGCCGGUGUCUUAAAGGAACACUGUGUGUUUGAGAACCGAGACGGAGCAGUCAUACUCACCCCUCUUCCUGGGGCCUCCUGCUUUGUCAGCGGAGCAGAGGUCACUGGACCCUGCCAGCUCACACAAGGUGCAGUGGUGGUGUUGGGGACGGGCACCACGUUCCGCUUCAACCACCCCAAAGAGGCAGCCGCUCUGCGCCUGAAGAGGCAGAGAUGCUGUCCAAGGCCACGCGGCACAUAUCUGGGGGAUCUGACAGCACUGAGGAGUGGAGAGAAUGUGGAAUCGAAGCACAACCAUGACAAUCUGACCGCUCAGACGUCUGAGUGGACGUCAGAGGUGGUGGAGGGUCAGGUGGUGGAGGAGCAGAGGAGGAAGGAGGAAAAAGAGGAUCACAGCCUUCCCAUCAUGCCACAGGAGGAGCGUCCCCCUGAGUAGCGGCAGGAUGAGACAAGGGCAGGGCAGCUCAGAAGUAGUCAUCACGCAGGCUGGAGUGCAGCAUCAGGUGCUGGUCUGAAUGGAGACGCAGUCGAGGACAUCAGUGCCCAGCUGAGGCUGUCCCCAGCCACGCCUCAGAUGGCCUGUCCUCAUUCCCUCCUCCCCAGGACGCAAAGGACGAGGAGGAGGAGGAGGAGG